UGAAAGUUCAAGUUUAAACCGGCUCAGUGAAUUAUGUUUACACGAGAGCUUGAUUAUUUCUCAAAUAUUAUAGUUCAAUAUAGGAUGAGGAAGAGUUCUUUCAAAGCAACUUCUACAUUCAGGAUUUUUGCCAAGAAUUUCAGGCUUCUGUCCACUCUGAGGUGUAUGUAAAAGCAUUUUGUUACUCGAUGGCACGUGCAAGAAUCAAGUGGGAAUACCCACAGAGAAUGAUGGAAAAAAGGUAAUUCGAAAAGCGUCAGCCUGGAAGGGAGGGAUCGGAUGCUCAUGAAUAUCGGACACUGACGUCACGAACGCGUUCACCUCUUUACGUCACCGGAAAUUCAAGUUCGUGGACGUCGACGCGAUCGCCUGGUGAUCGCGAUGGUGGAAACGUCGAGGACAUUUCAAGGUGAUUUAUUUUGUACCUAAAUGGAAUUCAUCUGCAAAGUGGAAAUAUGGCAAAGCUAAAGAGACUGAUGCAUGGUGUAGCUAAAACUGUUGUAGGAGGCUGUGAUGUAUUAAAUGGAAAUAUUCUUAAAAAUGGCC
Molecule: long non-coding RNA, 546 nt
Organism: Hylaeus volcanicus
Lineage: Eukaryota; Metazoa; Arthropoda; Insecta; Hymenoptera; Colletidae
Exons: 3
Source: RefSeq, a predicted model, not a curated record